UACGUAGGGGCGAGCGUUGUCCGGAAUGAUUGGGCGUAAAGGGCGUGCAGGCGGUUUCGCAAGUCUGAUGUGAAAGGCACCGGCUCAACCGGUGAGGUGCAUUGGAAACUGCGGGACUUGAGUCCAGGAGAGGGGAGUGGAAUUCCACGUGUAGCGGUGAAAUGCGUAGAGAUGUGGAGGAACACCGGUGGCGAAGGCGGCUCUCUGGCCUGAGACUGACGCUGAGGCGCGAAAGCGUGGGGAGCGAACAGGAUUAGAUA
RNAcentral lists this ribosomal RNA (260 nucleotides) under uncultured prokaryote. RNAcentral describes it as "partial 16S ribosomal RNA". It matches the Rfam family "Bacterial small subunit ribosomal RNA", at positions 524 to 784 of the family's 1533-position model. The record is from RNAcentral.